CCUACGGGUGACAGCAGUGGGGAAUAUUGCGCAAUGGGCGAAAGCCUGACGCAGCGACGCCGCGUGAGGGAUGAAGGUCUUCGGAUCGUAAACCUCUGUUAGCAGGGAAGCACGGUCACUGUGCUAAUCAGCAGUGAAUUGACGGUACCUGCAAAGGAAGCACCGGCUAACUCCGUGCCAGCAGCCGCGGUAAUACGGAGGGUGCGAGCGUUAAUCGGAAUUACUGGGCGUAAAGCGCUCGUAGGCGGUAUGUCAAGUCUAGGGUGAAAUCCCCGCGCUCAACGUGGGAACUGCCUUUGAAACUGGCAAACUGGAGUGUGUGAGAGGAUAGUGGAAUUCCAGGUGUAGGAGUGAAAUGCGUAGAUAUCUGGAGGAACAUCAGUGGCGAAGGCGACUAUCUGGCACAUAACUGACGCUGAGGAGCGAAAGCGUGGGUAGCAAACAGGAUUAGAUACCCUGGUAGUC
Molecule: ribosomal RNA, 465 nt
Filed under: uncultured bacterium
Lineage: Bacteria
Description: partial 16S ribosomal RNA
Rfam family: Bacterial small subunit ribosomal RNA
Source: RNAcentral